UACGAAGGGUGCAAGCGUUACUCGGAAUUACUGGGCGUAAAGCGUGCGUAGGUGGUUUGUUAAGUCUGUUGUGAAAGCCCCGGGCUCAACCUGGGAAUGGCAAUGGAUACUGGCAAGCUAGAGUGCGGUAGAGGGUAGUGGAAUUCCCGGUGUAGCGGUGAAAUGCGUAGAGAUCGGGAGGAACACCUGUGGCGAAAGCGGCGCACUGGACCACAACUGACGCUGAGGCGCGAAAGCUAGGGGAGCAAACAGG
Molecule: ribosomal RNA, 253 nt
Filed under: uncultured bacterium
Lineage: Bacteria
Description: partial 16S ribosomal RNA
Rfam family: Bacterial small subunit ribosomal RNA
Source: RNAcentral